UAGACCGCCUGGGGAGUACGGCCGCAAGGUUAAAACUCAAAUGAAUUGACGGGGGCCCGCACAAGCGGUGGAGCAUGUGGUUUAAUUCGAUGCAACGCGAAGAACCUUACCUGGUCUUGACAUCCACAGAACUUUCCAGAGAUGGAUUGUGCCUUCGGGAACUGUGAGACAGGUGCUGCAUGGCUGUCGUCAGCUCGUGUUGUGAAAUGUUGGGUUAAGUCCCGCAACGAGCGCAACCCUUAUCCUUUGUUGCCAGCGAUUAGGUCGGGAACUCAAAGGAGACUGCCAGUGAUAAACUGGAGGAAGGUGGGGAUGACGUCAAGUCAUCAUGGCCCUUACGACCAGGGCUACACACGUGCUACAAUGGCGCAUACAAAGAGAAGCGACCUCGCGAGAGCAAGCGGACCUCAUAAAGUGCGUCGUAGUCCGGAUUGGAGUCUGCAACUCGACUCCAUGAAGUCGGAAUCGCUAGUAAUCGUGGAUCAGAAUGCCACGGUGAAUACGUUCCCGGGCCUUGUACACACCGCCCGUCACACCAUGGGAGUGGGUUGCAAAAGAAGUAGGUAGCUUAACCUUCGGGAGGGCGCUUACCACUUUGUGAUUCAUGACUGGGGUGAAGUCGUAACAAGGUAACCGUAGGGGAACCUGCGGUUGGAUCACCUCCUUACCUUAAAGAAGC
This 679-nucleotide ribosomal RNA is filed under the name Salmonella enterica subsp. enterica serovar Anatum. RNAcentral's name for it is "bacterial SSU rRNA". It matches the Rfam family "Bacterial small subunit ribosomal RNA", at positions 865 to 1533 of the family's 1533-position model. The record is from RNAcentral. Lineage: Bacteria; Pseudomonadati; Pseudomonadota; Gammaproteobacteria; Enterobacterales; Enterobacteriaceae.